Long non-coding RNA from Mauremys reevesii (Reeves's turtle), 755 nucleotides. RefSeq lists it as uncharacterized. The record is from RefSeq and is a predicted model, not a curated record. The transcript is spliced from 4 exons. NCBI's taxonomy places the organism in Eukaryota, Metazoa, Chordata, Testudines, Geoemydidae.
AUCUCAUUGGCCAGAAUAAAGAGCCCCCCACCCGGGCCCUCCUCCCAGCGGCCUCCCCAACGGGCUAUAAAAGCCCGCAGCCAGAUGCAGGGCAGCUUUCCUGCACCCUGGGCUUGCAAAGGUGACCUCAGGGACAGAAAUGCAGCUGCCAUAAACAUUUCGAGGUCCAGCAACAGUCUUUAAAAAAAAAAUAGGGGAAGCGGUGAGAAAAUGAUCGAGCUGAAACUAGAAGGGACGCUGGAGACGCAGAAGCAGGUUUGUUUUCUGUUAGCGCAAGCAGAGAGGCGGGAAGCAAAAGAGCCAGCUGCUCCAAAGAGACGGACAAACUGACUGUUCCUGACAAGGACGCUGCAAUCUGGCUAACUAAAGACCAGACGCAUGCAUAAUCCUCCGGAAAAUUCAUCUUGGUCAGAGGGCCUUGAAGGGGUAAUUAAAAUGCACCGAGUGGAGACUGCACCUGUUUAGAAGGGAGUAUGCUGGAACUAGAUGUUCCUUAGUCAGCUGAGAAUGCCAAGUCUUUUACGACCAAAUUCUGCGCUGUAUAAACAAUGAAGCUGUGCCGCUUACGCCAGCAGAGAACGGAGUAUGGCCAGAGUUCGAUCAUCAUACAGAACAGCAGAAGGCUACCCUAGAUGGCAGCGAGAGAUCUCCAGACCUCUGAGUGGGGUAGGAGCGCAAGAGAGAGAAGAAACUCUUCAAUGUAGAAUUCAAGGCUGGCCCCGCCACCCUAGGGCAAGGAACAGCAUUGGGUGGUU